This 735-nucleotide long non-coding RNA is filed under the name Homo sapiens (human). Its description in RNAcentral is "HSALNT0127949". Lineage: Eukaryota; Metazoa; Chordata; Mammalia; Primates; Hominidae. The record is from RNAcentral.
UGGACAGCUAAUACCCCAAUUAUGACUUGACUAGGAAGAAAGGACCAAAGAGAGACAAUGUUUUCUCUUAUACACAUUGUUUGCACAUUGCUCGUUAACACCUCCAGGACAGAGCAUCACCAUGAAAUUCUCUAUUGAGCAGUAAAGAGAGACAGAGAGAGAGAGAGAGAGAAGAAAAAAGAAACAACAGCCUGGAAGUAGCUUUUGUCUUUCAUCACUAUUCACUACUGAGAUGGUAACUAUAGUUUAAUAGCUAUAAAAGGAGAGAGAGAUUGUCAUGCUGCCAUGAAAUGGAUAUAAACAAUUUUCAGCUGAGACUCUGACCAAAAAGAUUACUCAGGGAGUACAAUUAGAACAUUCACAACACAAAGGGAUCAUGAAUGCUUGAGGUGACGUAUCCCCUGCUACCCUCGGGGGCAAGAAAAAUAAAUAACUACAAAAAUGAGAUGAAGGAAGGAAGAAUAAGAGUCUGUUGUUAGAUCUAGAGAACUUGAAAUGAGAGUGAUCUAUUAAAACAUUUAUUAGCAAUCUCUCGAAGGCAGCUUACAAAAUAUUCCUUGAGGUUAGGAAGAAAGACGUCCUUUGAAGAUAAAAGGGCAUCUCCAUUUCCGAAAGCUGGAAAAUGAAAGUAAUUUUCCAAGGUGGCCAAAGACUGUUGCCUACCUCUGAAUUUUUAGCAUCUGACACUGCUUCUAAAUUACAUGAUGGUUUGGAGUACUGCUUCCUGCAAGGUAA